AAAAAUUUGUUUCCGUUGUUAGACUAACAUAAUAAAUUAUGUUAACUUAAAGGGACCAACAUCCUGCUCUAUGGCGAGAAACAACGUUUGGUCGAGUCACGUUCGAAAUGACGGAAAGUCGGAUUAGACCAAAUAAUGUUCGAAAUGGCGUGAGACUGAAUGAUCCGAGUCAAAGUCGAAAUUCCCAAACGUUAUAUCUGAACGUUUUAAGGCUUUGUUUGGUUCGAAAAUUAAUAGGAACUAGUUAUACCGAGAAUAGGUAUAAGUAUGGAUUUUUGUAAGAACGAGAGUAUUUUUUUGUUUGAAUGAAAAUGUGAAUAUAAGCUGAAAGUAGAAAAAUUGUGUUUGGAUGGUUAUUGAAAAUAAGAGAAAUAGUUGAUGGUUAUAAUAGAAAAUAAUGAUAUUACUCAUAUAAUUGAAUUUAAAUUUUUAAAUUUUAAACUUAUAAUUUUAAAUUAAAAAUUUUAACUUUUAAAUUUUAAAAUUCAAAAUUUAAUUUUAAAAAUUUUAAUUUUAAAUAUCAAAUUUUAAAUUUAAAGCCAAAUUUAAAUUUAAAAGAUAUAAAAUAUCAAAUUUAAAAUUUAAAAUUUAAAAUUUUAAUUUUAAAAUUAUAAAUUUUAAAAUUUUAUAUUCUAAUUUAAAAUAAAUCUCUCUCUCUCUUUCUCUCUCUACCCAGGGGGUGGGAGGGAACAAGUUGUUCCCACCCAUACCCGGUUAUGGGUGGCAACAACUUAGUCCCACGCCCCCCACCCCCCAUUUCCUAUUUGGGUACAAGAGGGGAGAUAACCUCCUUAUCUCCUCUCUUGUACCUAAUCCAAAUGCUAUCUAAGUGAAUUACUUAUAUCUUUUUAAUAGCUCGAGUUUUUGAAAUUAAUGAUAGCGCAAAUAAUCCGACAGGUGUAUUAUAAUCAAAGAUCACGGAUUUAAUUCCUACAUAAUGUGAAUUUAUACAGUGAUUAAUGAUUAGCAUUAAUGAUCCGACAAGUUAGUAAUUCUAUCAACACAAACUCCAAGAUAUAUGUUAAAAUGAAACUAAAGUAACUCU
This 1045-nucleotide long non-coding RNA is filed under the name Ananas comosus (pineapple). Its description in RNAcentral is "long non-coding RNA (ACOM_LNC032214)". The record is from RNAcentral. Lineage: Eukaryota; Viridiplantae; Streptophyta; Magnoliopsida; Poales; Bromeliaceae.